Molecule: ribosomal RNA, 343 nt
Filed under: uncultured Acidobacteriota bacterium
Lineage: Bacteria; Pseudomonadati; Acidobacteriota
Description: bacterial SSU rRNA
Rfam family: Bacterial small subunit ribosomal RNA
Source: RNAcentral
AGAGUUUGAUCCUGGCUCAAACCAACGCUGGCGGCGUGCCUCACACAUGCAAGUCGAACGAUUAAUCUUCCCUUCGGGGAAGAUAUAAAGUGGCGCACGGGUGAGUAACACGUAGGUAAUCUACCUUUGAGUGGGGAAUAACUCGGGGAAACCCGAGCUAAUACCGCAUAAUGCAGCGGCACCUAAUGGUGACAGUUGUUAAAGAUUUAUCGCUUAAAAAGGAGCCUGCGGCAGAUUAGCUAUUUGGUAAGGUAAUGGCUUACCAAGGCGACGAUCUGUAUCCGACCUGAGAGGGUGGUCGGACACACUGACACUGAAUAACGGGUCAGACUCCUACGGGAGG